RNAcentral lists this long non-coding RNA (408 nucleotides) under Actinidia chinensis (golden kiwifruit). Its description in RNAcentral is "long non-coding RNA (ACHI_LNC004416)". Lineage: Eukaryota; Viridiplantae; Streptophyta; Magnoliopsida; Ericales; Actinidiaceae. The record is from RNAcentral.
AUGCAUAAUUACACCUUCCCUGACACCACAUAAAGGGAAAAGUAACUUAUCGGUUUCAAGCACCAUACAAAUAUACCUUCUCCUUUCCCCACUAAAAACUCCAAGCGAUUCCUACAAUACCUUUAUAAGGUAUUCAUGUCUUCGUUUCCCCUAAAUAACCCUAACGGCUCAUGUCCUAAAGUACAAGGCAGAAUUUCAAGAAGAUGUAGAGUUCUCCAAUGUUUAUUCACUAAUGAAAUUACAUUGAUUGCCAGAGUCAAUACAAGUCUUAAAAAAUGAAAAAGAAAAGGAAAAGAAAAGAAAACCAUGUUGCAUAGCUCGCUUAAACUGCAGUAUACACCGAGCUCAGAAGCACAAACACUUCUUAAGGAGGCUUACACAAACUUUUGGACACCAACAUUUGUCAGU